AGAGAUGACGUUUAAUUAUGUGCAGAUUCACAAUUGAAAUGGGAACAGAAGCGUGUUAUAUUACGGAAUGUAUGCUUUUUCCUAGAUAUUAUAACGUGGUUGAUGGCUUUUGGGCAUUAUGUGUAUGCAUGGAGGCUUAAAGGCAAGGCAUACCUUAUGCUUAACCUAUCGUUUAUGGAUAUCAUUUCAGUGCAUGGUUUAUUGAGUUAAGAAUGGCUUAGAGAACCCUUCAUUAGGAACUUAGUGGAUGGAGAGCUUGUGUAUAAGUUCAUUAGGAUUUAAUCAUCAUCUAAUUAUGUUUGUAAGUUUAUUUAUCGUUGUUUAUCACCUGGGGUUUGGUGACUAUAUUAUAUCACCGGUUGUGGACAUUUAGUUUGUGGUCAUGUGAGUUGCUUUGGAUUUGACAUGUGAUUAAGUUGUUCAAUUAGGUUUUCUUUUCUUUUGAUCAUGCAUAUCUAUCCGUUUAUAUAAUUCUUUAUUGUUUCAAUCCCAUUUAUAGUUCAUAGUUAAUUUUAUCUUGCAAUAAGGACUGAAAAAGGCUUUUGUAACAAGAACAGUUUUUUAAAUACUGCAUGAUUUGAAAUGGUAGUCAAACCCCCCAAGAAUACCACUGAACCUCUUUGAGAAGUGUUAUCCAACACUUGGUGUGCCAUCUUCCAAACACAAUAUCUCUUUGUGGAGGGACCUCAUUUUGAAUUCGAAUCAGCAAAAAAUUUGUAAUUCAACAAAACAAAACGGAUUGUACCUUCUUUGUUAUUUAAACUCGAAAUUGAAAAUUUUCCGAAAAAAAAAAAAAAAAAAAAAAAAAAAGAAGCGCACCCCACUGAUGUGAAAUUUAAAUUCUGAAAAUUAUGCCUUCAUCUUUAUCAAAUCCUUUGUGAAAACCCAAACCCGUUUUCUUCGCCCUUGAUUGAUCCUUUGUGAAAAUUAAUUCUGCCUAAAGUUGUGAUCAAUUUCUGAAAAUUUGAACCGAAGCCGAAACCCAAAACAAUGGGUUCAGUUUAUUGGUUUUC
Long non-coding RNA from Lactuca sativa (garden lettuce), 1013 nucleotides. RefSeq lists it as uncharacterized. Lineage: Eukaryota; Viridiplantae; Streptophyta; Magnoliopsida; Asterales; Asteraceae. The record is from RefSeq and is a predicted model, not a curated record.